Odocoileus virginianus texanus is the source of this 281-nucleotide non-coding RNA. The record is from RefSeq and is a predicted model, not a curated record. Lineage: Eukaryota; Metazoa; Chordata; Mammalia; Artiodactyla; Cervidae.
GGUGAUGCAGACAAGGAGAUCAUUUUAAAAACAUAUAGUCAAGUACUACAAAAGAUCCGUUCAGAGGAAAGCCUUAUUGCCACAGUACAAUCCAAGUACAAGGACAGUGUUGAGUUUAAGAAACAGAUUAUUGAAUGUUUAAAUAAGAGCCCCAGCGUGGAUCACUUGCUCUCCAUUAAAAAGACACUGAAAAGCUUAAAGGCUCGACUGAGAUGGAAAUUGGUUGAAAAGAAUAAUUUGGAAGAAUCUGAUGACCAUGAUGGAUCUGAGAUUGAAAAAAU